This 222-nucleotide long non-coding RNA is filed under the name Elaeis guineensis (African oil palm). RNAcentral describes it as "long non-coding RNA (EGUI_LNC049976)". The record is from RNAcentral. Lineage: Eukaryota; Viridiplantae; Streptophyta; Magnoliopsida; Arecales; Arecaceae.
AUCCGAGCUUCUACAGUAAGUGGCCUCCUUCCAGAUUUCUGCAAGAAUAGGACUCCAUCCGAACUUCUACAGCGGAUGAAUUUCAGAUGAACUUCUACAACGGAUGGGCUCCAGCAGUCGGAUUUCUAUAGUGACCGACUGUCUCUGAUAUUUUUCAUACCUCUCCAGCCAUCAACCUUCAACAGCACCAAUCAGACUUCAACAGUGCCAACCAGACCCCUC